This 1158-nucleotide ribosomal RNA is filed under the name Acinetobacter guillouiae. Its description in RNAcentral is "bacterial SSU rRNA". It matches the Rfam family "Bacterial small subunit ribosomal RNA", at positions 36 to 1191 of the family's 1533-position model. The record is from RNAcentral. Lineage: Bacteria; Pseudomonadati; Pseudomonadota; Gammaproteobacteria; Moraxellales; Moraxellaceae.
CCGGUGUAAGGCAGACUUACCAUGCAAGUCGAGCGGGGGAGAUUGCUUCGGUAAUUGACCUAGCGGCGGACGGGUGAGUAAUACUUAGGAAUCUGCCUAUUAAUGGGGGACAACAUCUCGAAAGGGAUGCUAAUACCGCAUACGCCCUACGGGGGAAAGCAGGGGAUCACUUGUGACCUUGCGUUAAUAGAUGAGCCUAAGUCGGAUUAGCUAGUUGGUGGGGUAAAGGCCUACCAAGGCGACGAUCUGUAGCGGGUCUGAGAGGAUGAUCCGCCACACUGGGACUGAGACACGGCCCAGACUCCUACGGGAGGCAGCAGUGGGGAAUAUUGGACAAUGGGGGGAACCCUGAUCCAGCCAUGCCGCGUGUGUGAAGAAGGCCUUAUGGUUGUAAAGCACUUUAAGCGAGGAGGAGGCUCUUUUGGUUAAUACCCACGAUGAGUGGACGUUACUCGCAGAAUAAGCACCGGCUAACUCUGUGCCAGCAGCCGCGGUAAUACAGAGGGUGCGAGCGUUAAUCGGAUUUACUGGGCGUAAAGCGUGCGUAGGCGGCUUUUUAAGUCGGAUGUGAAAUCCCCGAGCUUAACUUGGGAAUUGCAUUCGAUACUGGGAAGCUAGAGUAUGGGAGAGGAUGGUAGAAUUCCAGGUGUAGCGGUGAAAUGCGUAGAGAUCUGGAGGAAUACCGAUGGCGAAGGCAGCCAUCUGGCCUAAUACUGACGCUGAGGUACGAAAGCAUGGGGAGCAAACAGGAUUAGAUACCCUGGUAGUCCAUGCCGUAAACGAUGUCUACUAGCCGUUGGGGCCUUUGAGGCUUUAGUGGCGCAGCUAACGCGAUAAGUAGACCGCCUGGGGAGUACGGUCGCAAGACUAAAACUCAAAUGAAUUGACGGGGGCCCGCACAAGCGGUGGAGCAUGUGGUUUAAUUCGAUGCAACGCGAAGAACCUUACCUGGUCUUGACAUAGUAAGAACUUUCCAGAGAUGGAUUGGUGCCUUCGGGAACUUACAUACAGGUGCUGCAUGGCUGUCGUCAGCUCGUGUCGUGAGAUGUGGGUUAAGUCCCGCACGAGCGCACCCUUUUCCUUAUUUGCCAGCACUUCGGUGGAACUUUAAGGAUACUGCCAGUGACAAACUGGAGGAAGGCGGGACGACGUCAAGUC